CCUACGGGUGGCAGCAGUAGGGAAUUUUGCGCAAUGGGGGAAACCCUGAUGCAGCAACGCCGCGUGAUCGAUGAAGCACUUCGGGGUGUAAAGAUCUGUCAGCAGGGACGAAAACUGACGGUACCCACUGAGGAAGCACCGGCUAAAUCCGUGCCAGCAGCCGCGGCAAAACGGGGGGUGCAAGCGUCGUCCGGAAUCAUUGGGCGUAAAGUGUUCGUAGGUGGCACUGUAAGUCUGGUGUUAAAGGCGUAGGCUCAACUUCCGUAGGGCACUGGAUACUGGCGAGCUUGAGUGCGGUAGAGGUAAAGGGAAUUCCUGGUGUAGCGGUGAAAUGCGUAGAUAUCAGGAGGAACAUCAGUGGCGAAGGCGCUUUACUGGGCCGUAAUUGACGCUGAGGAACGAAAGCCGGGGGAGCAAAUGGGAUUAGAUACCCCAGUAGUC
This 441-nucleotide ribosomal RNA is filed under the name uncultured bacterium. Its description in RNAcentral is "partial 16S ribosomal RNA". It matches the Rfam family "Bacterial small subunit ribosomal RNA", at positions 338 to 795 of the family's 1533-position model. The record is from RNAcentral.